AGCGUGAUAACAGAUUAACACUCGCCUUCAACGCAAUAACAGAGCAGUACCAAAACACGCUCAGCAGUAAACACAAGCACUACACAAACCCAGAGAAAGCGCAGCGCCGACUUAGCUGAUGGCCUGACGGAGACAGAGGGUGAGGGAUUGUGGAUGGAGGAGGCCUGUGUCGUGGUGCCAGUGUCAUCUUGGCAGGUGCAGGAACCAGGAGGAGAUUCCUGAGAGGGAACCUGGACAGGGCCAGGUUGGAUGAGGCUGGCGGACUGGAGAUAUGGCAGGAGGCAGACAGCGUGGGCAGGAAAGGUCAUGGAACUGAAGCACAAGGAAAAACUGUUGGUGACCACCCACCUGCUCUGCCAGCCCUCCAGAUCGCCACACAACUGCCAUCCAGCUUGGUUCUGCUGGAUCUUCGUUUCCAAAGCCACAGCUGGCCUGCACCAACUGAUUAUAACAUUCCAGCUGUAAUGCUGUGUCUGCCACGCUUCAUCCACAUUCAAACAAAUGUGUGCCAUUUGUUCCUCGCUUUAGACAAAAGCAUCUGACCAAUAUGUAGCUACCUAUAUGUAGUGGAACUAAAUCGAAUUUAAAUACAUUUGAAUGUGUAGAGUGUAUACUCAGAUGAGUUGUGUGAUGAAUGUUUUUGCUACAUCCAGCCUGUGAUGUGAUGAAGUGCUACUGUGUCUGUAUUGUUUCAG
Amphiprion ocellaris (clown anemonefish) is the source of this 695-nucleotide long non-coding RNA. NCBI's taxonomy places the organism in Eukaryota, Metazoa, Chordata, Actinopteri, Pomacentridae. The record is from Ensembl.